GCAUAUCAAUAAGCGGAGGAAAAGAAACUAACAAGGAUUCCCUUAGUAACGGCGAGUGAAGCGGGAAGAGCUCAAAUUUGAAAUCUUCAAGGUUCUACCUUGACGAAUUGUAGUUUAAAGAAGUGUUUUCUGUUAGAUGAGUAGCAAAAGUUCCUUGGAAUGGGACAUCAUAGAGGGUGAGAAUCCCGUAUUUGGUUAUUCAUUCUAGCUUUGUGAUACACUUUCAAAGAGUCGGAUUGUUUGGGAAUGCAGUCCAAAAUGGGUGGUAAAUUUCAUCUAAAGCUAAAUAUUGGCGAGAGACCGAUAGCGAACAAGUACCGUGAGGGAAAGAUGAAAAGAACUUUGAAAAGAGAGUUAAACAGUACGUGAAAUUGUCAAAAGGGAAGCGUUUGACACCAGUGUUGUUUUUCCGAAAAUCAAUUACGAAUGGCUUGAUUUUGUGUUGUAUUGACCUUAUCAGCUUUCUGCACUUUUUUCGAGUCUUUCUUAAUGCACUUUUCGGUUAACAAGUCAACAUCAAUUUCUUUUGUUGUAAAAGAGUAUUCGGAGGGUGGCUUUCUUUUCGGAGAAAGUGUUUAUAGCCCUAUACUUCUACAAUCGGAGAGAUUGAGGUCUGCAGCGUAGAUCCUUCGGGGUUAGAUACACUUGUGCUAAGUUGUAGCUUUUCAUAGACAACUUGUUGACUAUGUUUGGUCAUGCGGCUUACUCGCUUGUGCUAUUUUACCUACGCUUAGGAUGUUGACAAAAUGGUUUUAAACGACCCGUCUUGAAACACGGACC
RNAcentral lists this ribosomal RNA (780 nucleotides) under Neocallimastix frontalis. RNAcentral's name for it is "partial large subunit ribosomal RNA". It matches the Rfam family "Eukaryotic large subunit ribosomal RNA", at positions 38 to 667 of the family's 3401-position model. The record is from RNAcentral. Lineage: Eukaryota; Fungi; Neocallimastigomycota; Neocallimastigomycetes; Neocallimastigales; Neocallimastigaceae.